GCCGGGUUAGUCAAGUGGUUUAAGACAUAGCACUUUCACUGCUACACGCACGGGUUCGAAUCCCGUACCCGGUACCA
RNAcentral lists this transfer RNA (77 nucleotides) under bacterium. Its description in RNAcentral is "tRNA-Glu". It matches the Rfam family "tRNA". From Rfam's summary of the family: Transfer RNA (tRNA) molecules are approximately 80 nucleotides in length. The record is from RNAcentral.